AUUCUUGCGUUUUGAGCAAUGAUGCAGUUAGUGAGGUACUAACCGUGACGCGUCUAUUGUUGGUUGAAAACUAUUUCUAAACUCUCUCGGUCUGGGUUUUAUCUGAAUCAUAGAGAAUUUCUGGAAGGGCUCCCUACAGAAAAAAAAAAAAAAAGUU
RNAcentral lists this small nuclear RNA (157 nucleotides) under Cephalotus follicularis. RNAcentral's name for it is "U4 spliceosomal RNA". The stretch from base 1 to 135 matches the Rfam family "U4 spliceosomal RNA". Rfam says of the family: U4 small nuclear RNA (U4 snRNA) is a component of the major U2-dependent spliceosome. The structure of U4 snRNA from yeast and human has been reported. U4 snRNA presents a k-turn RNA motif in the 5p-SL related to recognition of Snu13 protein. Lineage: Eukaryota; Viridiplantae; Streptophyta; Magnoliopsida; Oxalidales; Cephalotaceae. The record is from Rfam by way of RNAcentral.